Molecule: ribosomal RNA, 468 nt
Filed under: uncultured bacterium
Lineage: Bacteria
Description: partial 16S ribosomal RNA
Rfam family: Bacterial small subunit ribosomal RNA
Source: RNAcentral
GACGAACGCUGGCGGCGUGCUUAACACAUGCAAGUCGAACGGAAAGGCCCUGCUUUUGUGGGGUGCUCGAGUGGCGAACGGGUGAGUAACACGUGAGUAACCUGCCCUUGACUUUGGGAUAACUUCAGGAAACUGAGGCUAAUGCCGGAUAGGAGCUCCUGCUGCAUGGUGGGGGUUGGAAAGUUUCGGCGGUUGGGGAUGGACUCGCGGCUUAUCAGCUUGUUGGUGGGGUAGUGGCUUACCAAGGCUUUGACGGGUAGCCGGCCUGAGAGGGUGACCGGCCACAUUGGGACUGAGAUAAGGCACAGACUCCUACGGGAGGCAGCAGUGGGGAAUAUUGCACAAUGGGCGGAAGCCUGAUGCAGCAACGCAGCGUGCGGGAUGACGGCCUUCGGGUUGUAAACCGCUUUCGCCUGUGACGAAGCGUGAGUGACGGUAAUGGGUAAAGAAGCACCGGCUAACUACGUG